UAAAAUUCAAUUACAAUGAUUCAUUGCAGUUAAAUUUUACUACUGAUUGGUAUCAAAUUUAUAUGUUUAUAAGUAAUUCAACAAAUCCUUCUAUUAUACAGUUUGUAAAAGCAACACAUAUUUUGAAGAGAGUCAUAGAUAUUUUGUUUCUCUCAUUACUGUCAAACGUCAGUUGUCAGCCCUACCGAGUUUAGGCAUUUUGUUAUCGCGAGUGUUGUGUUGUUUAAAGUGAAAAUCGGAAAAAACAGUAGUUUGUACAUAUCGGUAUUAUUUUUUCAAACAAUUGGGACGUAGAUGAGGGAAAUAUGCCACGCAAGGAUAAGUACGAAAAUAAUAGUGGAAAUCGUCGGUCCCAUACCCUCAUGUCUGCCGAAGAGCAAGCCAGUGGAAAGAAGUCCUCAUGGAAUGAGUUGGAGAUAACAGGGACUAUUCGGAAUUUAAGUCCGAAUUUAUUCAAGAUGGCCCAUUUGACAUCCCUAAUUAUAAAAAACAAUCAAAUUAGCAGAUUGCCAUCAGACAUUUGUCGUUUACUACAUUUAAGACAAUUGGAUUUAAGUAAUAAUAAACUUAGGUCACUGCCUGCAGAGCUAGGGGAACUCAUAUAUCUGAGGGAACUACAUCUUGCAAACAACUGUUUGAGAAUAUUACCAUAUGAACUGGGCAGACUCUUCAACUUGAUGAUUCUCUCUCUAAAUGGAAAUCCUUUGAACAAGGACAUUUUAACCAUCUAUUCAGAACCCAAUGGGACUGUGAAGCUGCUGACAUAUAUGCUUGACAAUCUACAAGGUAG
Leptinotarsa decemlineata (Colorado potato beetle) is the source of this 790-nucleotide long non-coding RNA. Lineage: Eukaryota; Metazoa; Arthropoda; Insecta; Coleoptera; Chrysomelidae. The record is from RefSeq and is a predicted model, not a curated record.